AUGUCUUAAUUGAAAUAUAUUCAAUCUUAGUUUCGACCUAGGUUUAGAGCUCGCUCAAGACAUC
RNAcentral lists this transfer RNA (64 nucleotides) under Trichuris suis (pig whipworm). Its description in RNAcentral is "tRNA-Arg". The record is from RNAcentral. Lineage: Eukaryota; Metazoa; Nematoda; Enoplea; Trichinellida; Trichuridae.